Mirounga angustirostris (Northern elephant seal) is the source of this 3052-nucleotide long non-coding RNA. RefSeq lists it as uncharacterized. The transcript is spliced from 3 exons. Lineage: Eukaryota; Metazoa; Chordata; Mammalia; Carnivora; Phocidae. The record is from RefSeq and is a predicted model, not a curated record.
CCCUUCCUCCUAGGUCCUUCCACACUCAUAAUUAAAUACACCAGAACUACGGCACAUGUGUGAAUAGAUACAAGGGCGCCUGACAUCAGAGUUGGGGGUCAACCUAAGAGAAUAAACAACAAUCUAAACCUUAGAAGAGUUCCACCUGCGAGAACAAGAUGGAGAAACAGAUCAAAUAAUCCCCCUGGGUGCUGAAGACUAUGGGGAAAUUAACUCCACUCACUCAAGACGGAGGAUCACUGACUUCAAUCAAGCAACCAGGGUUUCAAACAAGUCCUCAAACACCACCACUGCAUGGCGAGUACAGAGGCUGUAGACGUCUGGUGUUGGGAUCAUCUGGGCAUCUCUCCACCCAACACCUUGUCAAGACUGCUGUCAACACUCCACCUGGACCCUACACACUCUUUCCACGCCCCCACCGCAUGUCCACCUCCAGGGUGGUGGCUCCUUCUGCUACUCUGUGCACACACAGAUCAUCUUUUCAUGCACACACAGAUCAUCUGGCUUCUUCUGGGCCCUUGAGGUAGAGGAAAUUCAGUGUAACUGUAGAAGGUCCUGCCUACCAGCAUACAGUACGAAGUAGUUUUUUUCUCUGAAAUCGUUCCACCUUUGCUGGACAGAAGUCCCUUUCUGCUUUUUCUAUCCUGCACAAGCAUGCAUUUUGUCUGAAACUACUUCUUGUCUUGCUCUGUGAUGGCUGUAGUAUGUUUGCAUAUUUAGUUUCCUGUUUAUUUAUUGCGAGUUCAGCAUCAAAUUUAAUUUCACUUGUGAAAAUCUUUUAAUUUCUUCACAUGAAUUAAAUAUUCUAUUUCCUUUUUUAUAAAAAAAGUUUCCCAGAUCUUCCAGCUCUGCUUAUUGGCUUGUUGGACAACUUUGGUUAGAAAUAAUUUGUCAUUAGAUCUCUUUCUUAGAAGAAAGAAAUACAGAAAUUUCUGUACUUGGAAUAUUGAAUCCAUUCUGAUUCUUUAAAAUUUUCAUUAACCCUUUUUCUUUCCUUGUCUGGGGGAAGCUUGCAUAUCCUUUCCAUUGCUUACAGUAUUAUGAAAUAGUAUAAAUGAUAUGGUUCUAUUUUCGUCCAUUUUGCUGAAUGCUUAGAAGGUCUUUUUAGAGGAGACACUUAGGACACCAGGCCCUGCUCUCAGCAGAGAAGGCUUCAGCUGUGGGCUUGGUAUUUUCUGAGAGGAAAUACUCCAUCACUUCUCAUCAGGGAAUCAUAUCCAUCAAAGCCACCCAGCCAUCUGAUAAAUGGAAAGUCAUGAUAUCAUAGUGACUAUUAGCUAUAGCAACACAGUCAUAAAUCUCAAUAUUUGUGUAGAACAGACCAGAAUGAUAAGGCAAAUCAGAGGCAGGAAAUAGUUCUGGUGAGGUUUGCAAGGAGCCAUCAAUAGGCAAUCCGACCCCAGAAGAAUUACUUCCUGGACAAGCAGGGAUGUCCUAGGGCCCUUUAGUCUUUUAAGUACCUUGGACUUGAUUUAUUCUGGGGAGAUUGUUUUACACAAUUCUCUAUAGGCAGUUGGAGAAUAUGAAAGAGAAUAACCUGAGUGCAUGCAUCUAGAGGAUUCCUUUCUUGUAUGAGAAUAACCAGAAAGCUUAAUUAAUAAUAAGGCUCCUAGCAGAACGAAGUCUGAGACAAGAAUGUGUAACUUUGAUAAAUACCAAAAUGUGGAGAAGUAUACAUUCCCCAUACCAUUGAGAUGAGUCAUGAUGAAGAGAGUGCGAUGAAUCACCUGCCCAGGUGAGAAGAGAUUGCACUCAGGAGGCUUUCCGUAAGGCACAUUCUGCAGCUCAUGUAUUAGUGAGGGUUCUUGACUGGCAGCAAUGCAAGCAGAGCCUCACUAUUUUAAGGAAGACAUGAGAUUUGUUACCAGAAUUUUGCAUAGUUCACAGAAUCUAGGAGGGCAGGAGAUCUAAGCCUCGAGGGAGAGUGAGGAACCAUGUCCAAUGUCACAGCACAGAGCGGGUGUCUUCAUGCUGCUGUGACCAAAUGGCACAGUCCCAGGGGCUGGCCCCAUGCACUCUGGCAGCUCUGGGAGCUCGGUGCCCCUGUGGGAAUUGCAGUCUUUGUCGCCCCUGGAAGGAGCCACCACUGUUGUACCUGCGCCCCUCCCCGUGGCCAGAGUGGGUACUGCAUCAUUCCUUCUCCCCAGCCGGACCCGGUUUUGCCCCAUCAGGGAGUGGUUUCUGAGCUACAGAACCCGUGUCUCAGGCUGGCAGCGUCUUAUAAGGAAGGCUGGGGAAGCCAGACUUUGACAUGUUCAGGUUCUCUUCAUACUCCACAAAGCAGGAGUGCCUUGAAGGUUGGGGUCUCCAACAUAGGAGGGGUGCACAGAACCCGGGUGCCCAAAAAGAAAAUUUUUGAUUACCCAGGUGCAAGAAUUUUGAAUGGGAUCAUUAAUUGAUGCCUCAUCAAUUCAAAUAUCUACAUUUAGCAAUGCGUGAAGGGUUCAUUAACAAGGGAAUCUUUAAAAGCUAUAAAGGAUUUGUUGGAAUGACUAAGCCUGCACUGUGCAUUAAGCCAUUUAUAUUUUUGGUAAGUACUUUAUGGUAAACACGAUUAUAAAGCAAAUAGUGUGCAAUGUAUGGAGUAGAUUGAAUAGUAAUAUCCAAUUCAUCCUCACAGAAGUCAUUCUAUAAUAUGACCCAAUAUCACAAAGCCUGCCAGUCUAUAGAAAUCCCAGGCUUGGAAGUUUUAAACAUGUAACAAUAUGUAAAUAGAAGAGGGUUUCUUAAUCCUAAAAUUUGUAUGGAACCAGAAAAGACACCGAAUAGCCAGAGGAAUGUUGAAAAAGAAAAGCAAAGCUGGCGGCAUCACAAUUCCGGACUUCCAGCUCUAUUACAAAGCUGCCAUCAUCAAGACAGUAUGGUACUGGCACAAAAACAGACACAUAGAUCAAUGGAACAGAAUAGAGAGCCCAGAAAUGGACCCUCAACUCUAUGGUCAACUCAUCUUUGACAAAGCAGGAAAGAAUGUCCAAUGGAACAAAGACAGUCUCUUCAACAAAUGGUGUUGGGAAAAUUGGACAGCCACGUGCAGAAGAAUGAAACUGGACCA